UGGGGAAUAUUGCACAAUGGGCGCAAGCCUGAUGCAGCCAUGCCGCGUGUGUGAAGAAGGCCUUCGGGUUGUAAAGCACUUUCAGCGGGGAGGAAGGCGUUAAGGUUAAUAACCUUGGCGAUUGACGUUACCUGCAGAAGAAGCACCGGCUAACUCCGUGCCAGCAGCCGCGGUAAUACGGAGGGUGCAAGCGUUAAUCGGAAUUACUGGGCGUAAAGCGCACGCAGGCGGUCUGUCAAGUCGGAUGUGAAAUCCCCGGGCUCAACCUGGGAACUGCAUUCGAAACUGGCAGGCUAGAGUCUUGUAGAGGGGGGUAGAAUUCCAGGUGUAGCGGUGAAAUGCGUAGAGAUCUGGAGGAAUACCGGUGGCGAAGGCGGCCCCCUGGACAAAGACUGACGCUCAGGUGCGAAAGCGUGGGGAGCAAACAGG
This 429-nucleotide ribosomal RNA is filed under the name Chloroflexota bacterium. Its description in RNAcentral is "Chloroflexi bacterium partial 16S ribosomal RNA". It matches the Rfam family "Bacterial small subunit ribosomal RNA", at positions 355 to 776 of the family's 1533-position model. The record is from RNAcentral. Lineage: Bacteria; Bacillati; Chloroflexota.